RNAcentral lists this ribosomal RNA (300 nucleotides) under uncultured Bacillus sp. RNAcentral's name for it is "bacterial SSU rRNA". It matches the Rfam family "Bacterial small subunit ribosomal RNA", at positions 496 to 795 of the family's 1533-position model. The record is from RNAcentral. Lineage: Bacteria; Bacillati; Bacillota; Bacilli; Caryophanales; Bacillaceae.
GUGUACAACGUGGGAGGGGCGUCGGUGGUAGGGUGGGUUCGGGCGUGGUGCGGAUGUAUUGGUGGUGAAGUGCUCGUGGUUGGUUGUGUGCGUCGGAAGGGUAAUCUGGGGGCGUAACCCUGAGCGGGCUUUCGAUACGGGUUGACUGGAGGAAGGUAGUGGGGAAUGGAAUUCCUGGUGGAGCGGUGGAAUGCGCAGAUAUCAGGAGGAACACCAGUGGCGAAGGCGGUUCUCUGGGCCUUUCCUGACGCUGAGGAGCGAAAGCGUGGGGAGCGAACAGGAUUAGAUACCCGAGUAGUC